AGAGUUUGAUCCUGGCUCAGAGCGAACGCUGGCGGAAUGCUUAACACAUGCAAGUCGCACGCCCCGCAAGGGGAGUGGCGGACGGGUGAGAAACGCGUAGGAACAUGUCCGGAGGUGGGGGACAACCCUGGGAAACCGGGGCUAAUACCGCAUAUGGGCCGAGGCCCAAAGCAGCGAUGCGCCUUCGGAGUGGCCUGCGUCCGAUUAGCUUGUUGGCGGGGUAACGGCCCACCAAGGCUACGAUCGGUAGCUGGUCUGAGAGGACGACCAGCCACACUGGGACUGAGACACGGCCCAGACUCCUACGGGAGGCAGCAGUGGGGAAUAUUGGGCAAUGGGCGCAAGCCUGACCCAGCAAUUCCGCGUGGGUGAAGAAGGUCUUCGGAUUGUAAAGCCCUUUCGGCGGGGACGAUGGUGACGGUACCCGCAGAAGAAGCCCCGGCUAACUUCGUGCCAGCAGCCGCGGUAAUACGAAGGGGGCUAGCGUUGCUCGGAAUCAUUGGGCGUAAAGGGCGCGUAGGCGGCGCUGUUAGUCAGGCGUGAAACCCCUGGGCUCAACCCAGGAACUGCGCUUGAUACGGCAGGGCUCGAGGAUGGAAGAGGGCCGCGGAAUUCCCAGUGUAGAGGUGAAAUUCGUAGAUAUUGGGAAGAACACCGGUGGCGAAGGCGGCGGCCUGGUCCAUUUCUGACGCUGAGGCGCGACAGCGUGGGGAGCAAACAGGAUUAGAUACCCCGGUAGUCC
Molecule: ribosomal RNA, 742 nt
Filed under: uncultured Acetobacteraceae bacterium
Lineage: Bacteria; Pseudomonadati; Pseudomonadota; Alphaproteobacteria; Acetobacterales; Acetobacteraceae
Description: bacterial SSU rRNA
Rfam family: Bacterial small subunit ribosomal RNA
Source: RNAcentral